AAAAAAAAAAAAAAAAAAAUGCAUACUGCUAUUACAGCACAAUACCGACAAUCGGAUCACAGUUGAAAGAAAACGAAAAGAAAGGCCCUCUUUAACAAAUUGGCAGAGGCGUGCCUCCCAGGCCUUGAUCCUCACUUCUCUUCUCUCUCAAACUUGUACAGCGGAUAAGACCUGCACUACUUGAUUCUGUUUGGAUUUGCAGGAUUUACAUUCUCAAAAGCUCCUCUUUCAUCCUCAUCAUUUUUUGGCAAGACAGACUUCAACACCAAUCUUGGUGAGGAUGAUUGAAG
RNAcentral lists this unclassified non-coding RNA (290 nucleotides) under Hevea brasiliensis (rubber tree). The record is from RNAcentral. Lineage: Eukaryota; Viridiplantae; Streptophyta; Magnoliopsida; Malpighiales; Euphorbiaceae.